Molecule: ribosomal RNA, 486 nt
Filed under: uncultured bacterium
Lineage: Bacteria
Description: partial 16S ribosomal RNA
Rfam family: Bacterial small subunit ribosomal RNA
Source: RNAcentral
AUUGAACGCUGGCGGCAUGCCUUACACAUGCAAGUCGAACGGCAGCACGGGUGCUUGCACCUGGUGGCGAGUGGCGAACGGGUGAGUAAUACAUCGGAACAUGUCCUGUAGUGGGGGAUAGCCCGGCGAAAGCCGGAUUAAUACCGCAUACGAUCUACGGAUGAAAGCGGGGGACCUUCGGGCCUCGCGCUAUAGGGUUGGCCGAUGGCUGAUUAGCUAGUUGGUGGGGUAAAGGCCUACCAAGGCGACGAUCAGUAGCUGGUCUAAGAGGACGACCAGCCACACUGGGACUGAGACACGGCCCAGACUCCUACGGGAGGCAGCAGUGGGGAAUUUUGGACAAUGGGCGAAAGCCUGAUCCAGCAAUGCCGCGUGUGUGAAGAAGGCCUUCGGGUUGUAAAGCACUUUUGUCCGGAAAGAAAUCCUUGGCCCUAAUACGGUCGGGGGAUGACGGUACCGGAAGAAUAAGCACCGGCUAACUACGUG